UAAUAUCGGAACGUGCCCAGUCGUGGGGGAUAACGUAGCGAAAGCUACGCUAAUACCGCAUACGAUCUACGGAUGAAAGCGGGGGAUCGCAAGACCUCGCGCGAUUGGAGCGGCCGAUAUCAGAUUAGCUAGUUGGUGGGGUAAAAGCCCACCAGGGCGACGAUCUGUAGCUGGUCUGAGAGGACGACCAGCCACACUGGAACUGAGACACGGUCCAG
RNAcentral lists this ribosomal RNA (218 nucleotides) under uncultured bacterium. Its description in RNAcentral is "partial 16S ribosomal RNA". It matches the Rfam family "Bacterial small subunit ribosomal RNA", at positions 113 to 334 of the family's 1533-position model. The record is from RNAcentral.